This 46-nucleotide non-coding RNA is filed under the name Schistosoma mansoni. Lineage: Eukaryota; Metazoa; Platyhelminthes; Trematoda; Strigeidida; Schistosomatidae. The record is from RNAcentral.
AUCCAGCUGAUGAGUCCAAAAUAAAAACGAAACGCGCGUCCUGGAU